GACGAACCGUGCGAACGUUAUUCGGAAUCACUGGGCUUAAAGCGCGUGUAGGCGGGGCGGCACGUCGGUCGCUGAAAGCCCCCGGCUCAACCGGGGAACGGGCGCCGAUACGACCGCCCUCGAGGGACGUAGGGGGACCUGGAACUUCCGGUGGAGCGGUGAAAUGCGUUGAGAUCGGAAGGAACACCCAAGGCGAAAGCACUCUGCUGGGCCGACACUGACACUGAGAGACGAAAGCUAGGGGAGCAAAUGGG
This 254-nucleotide ribosomal RNA is filed under the name uncultured bacterium. RNAcentral describes it as "partial 16S ribosomal RNA". It matches the Rfam family "Bacterial small subunit ribosomal RNA", at positions 524 to 776 of the family's 1533-position model. The record is from RNAcentral.